Molecule: ribosomal RNA, 422 nt
Filed under: uncultured prokaryote
Description: bacterial SSU rRNA
Rfam family: Bacterial small subunit ribosomal RNA
Source: RNAcentral
UGAGGAAUAUUGGUCAAUGGGCGGAAGCCUGAACCAGCCAUCCCGCGUGGAGGAAGACGGCCCUAUGGGUUGUAAACUUCUUUUCAAGGGGAAGAAAGUUCGCGACGUGUCGCGAUUUGCCGGUACCUUUGGAAUAAGCAUCGGCUAACUCCGUGCCAGCAGCCGCGGUAAUACGGAGGAUGCGAGCGUUAUCCGGAUUUAUUGGGUUUAAAGGGUGCGUAGGCCGAUCGAUAAGUCAGCGGUGAAAUACCAUGGCCCAACCAUGGAACUGCCGUUGAUACUGUCGGUCUUGAAUAUGGUCAAGGUAGGCGGAAUGUGUAAUGUAGCGGUGAAAUGCUUAGAUAUUACACAGAACACCGAUUGCGAAGGCAGCUUACUGGUCCAUUAUUGACGCUGAGGCACGAAAGCGUGGGGAUCGAACA